UAAUCUUGUCGACCAGUGGUUGCCAUUGGAAAACAGACAGCUGCUUGGUAGAUAGUGGUACACCCAAGUAUUUAAAAGGUAGUUCUCCAUGUACAUAUCCAAGAUGAUCAAUAAUUUGCUGUUGCUCUUCAGGCUUUACCCCCCAAAGUAAACACCAAUCUUAUGCAAAUUGGCUUUCAUACCAGAGGCUGCAGUGAAAUGAGAGAAAUAUGUAAACAUGGUACGUACAGACUGAGCUUCUCCUUUGACAAACAGCAAGAGGUCAUCAGCGAAGCUUAGAUGAGUAAUUCCUAGUUUUUUACAACCAGGAUGAAAUGUGAAAUCUUUUGCUUGCCUCAGUUCUUCCAGUGAUCGACUUAGGUAUUCCAUCACAAUAGCAAAUAAGAAUGGAGAUAUG
This 397-nucleotide long non-coding RNA is filed under the name Nicotiana benthamiana. RNAcentral describes it as "long non-coding RNA (NBEN_LNC033481)". The record is from RNAcentral. Lineage: Eukaryota; Viridiplantae; Streptophyta; Magnoliopsida; Solanales; Solanaceae.